CUUGGUAGACAGAAUAUGGAAGGAGAUUAACACUAGCCCCUAAAUCAAGUAACGCCUUAUCCACAAAAGUUUCUCCUAUGACACAUGAAAUUGUAGGACAACCGGGGUCCUUGUAUUUCACGGGAAUUUGGUUUGAGAGAAUCGAACUAAUGUGAGAUGUAAGGAAAGCUUUCUUAGGGACAUGGUUGGUUCUCUUAUGGGUACAUAACUCCUUAAGACACUUAGCAUAUGAAGGAAUUUGUUGAAUAGCAUCUAAAAGGGGUAUGUUGACCUUGACUUGCUUAAAAACUUCCAAAAUCUUCUCCAUUUGAGCCGAUUGCUUAGGUGAAAUAAGUCUUUGUGGGUAAGGGACUCUUGGUUUAUAGACUACUUCACUUUGCAAUUCGGGUUCCGGGUUUGGGUCACUCGACUCCUCACGGGCUUUUGAACACUCGGGUUUGUCAUGAUUAAUGG
Molecule: long non-coding RNA, 453 nt
Filed under: Daucus carota (carrot)
Lineage: Eukaryota; Viridiplantae; Streptophyta; Magnoliopsida; Apiales; Apiaceae
Description: long non-coding RNA (DCAR_LNC007525)
Source: RNAcentral